GCCAGCGUAGCUCAGCGGCAGAGCAGCGGUUUUGUAAACCGCUGGUCGUCGGUUCGAUCCCGACCGCUGGCUCCA
RNAcentral lists this transfer RNA (75 nucleotides) under Limisphaerales bacterium. Its description in RNAcentral is "Verrucomicrobia subdivision 3 bacterium (sediment metagenome) tRNA-Thr". It matches the Rfam family "tRNA". Rfam says of the family: Transfer RNA (tRNA) molecules are approximately 80 nucleotides in length. Their secondary structure includes four short double-helical elements and three loops (D, anti-codon, and T loops). Lineage: Bacteria; Pseudomonadati; Verrucomicrobiota; Verrucomicrobiia; Limisphaerales. The record is from RNAcentral.